AUACGGAGGGGGCUAGCGUUGUUCGGAUUUAUUGGGCGUAAAGCGAGCGCAGGCGGCCAAGUAUGUCGGAUGUGAAAGCCCUCGGCUCAACCGAGGAAUUGUGUUCGAAACUGCUUGGCUUGAGUAUGGGAGAGGGAAGCGGAAUUCCCGGUGUAGAGGUGAAAUUCGUAGAUAUCGGGAGGAACACCAGAGGCGAAGGCGGCUUCCUGGACCAACACUGACGCUGAGGCUCGAAAGCGUGGGGAGCAAACAGGAUUAGAAACCCUAGUAGUCC
This 274-nucleotide ribosomal RNA is filed under the name uncultured bacterium. RNAcentral's name for it is "partial 16S ribosomal RNA". It matches the Rfam family "Bacterial small subunit ribosomal RNA", at positions 523 to 796 of the family's 1533-position model. The record is from RNAcentral.